AUAGCGUAUAUUAAAGUUGUUGCGGUUAAAAAGCUCGUAGUUGGAUCUGUGUCUUACGAUGUCGGUUCACCGCUCGCGGUGUCAACUGGCAUGUCUUGUGGGACGUCCUGCCGGUGGUGGUCCGGUCCCUCGGGUAUGUGUAGGUUCGCUGAAGCAUCCCGUGGGUUCCGGCUGCCGAUUCAAUCCCGCCGCGGUGCUCUUGACUGAGUGUCGAGGUGGGCCGGCACGUUUACUUUGAACAAAUUAGAGUGCUUAAAGCAGGCUGAUUUCUGCCUGAAUACUGUGUGCAUGGAAUAAUGGAAUAGGACUUCGGUUCUAUUUUGUUGGUUUUAAGAAUCCGAAGUAAUGAUUAAUAGGGACAGGCGGGGGCAUUAGUAUUUAAUUGUCAGAGGUGAAAUUCUUGGAUUUAUGAAAGACUAACUUCUG
This 426-nucleotide ribosomal RNA is filed under the name Flexamia areolata. RNAcentral's name for it is "bacterial SSU rRNA". It matches the Rfam family "Eukaryotic small subunit ribosomal RNA", at positions 594 to 945 of the family's 1831-position model. The record is from RNAcentral. Lineage: Eukaryota; Metazoa; Arthropoda; Insecta; Hemiptera; Cicadellidae.